CUACGGGUGGCUGCAGUGGGGAAUAUUGCACAAUGGAGGAAACUCUGAUGCAGCAACGCCGCGUGGAGGAUGACGCUUUUCGGAGCGUAAACUCCUUUUAUAUAGGAAGAAGAUGACGGUACUAUAUGAAUAAGCGCCGGCUAACUCCGUGCCAGCAGCCGCGGUAAUACGGAGGGCGCAAGCGUUACUCGGAAUCACUGGGCGUAAAGAGCGUGUAGGCGGAUUAAAAAGUCAGAAGUGAAAUCCUAUAGCUUAACUAUAGAACUGCUUCUGAAACUCUUAAUCUAGAAUAUGGGAGAGGUAGAUGGAAUUUCUGGUGUAGGGGUAAAAUCCGUAGAGAUCAGAAGGAAUACCGAUUGCGAAGGCGAUCUACUAGAACAUUAUUGACGCUGAGACGCGAAAGCGUGGGGAGCAAACAGGAUUAAAUACCCGCGUAGUC
This 439-nucleotide ribosomal RNA is filed under the name uncultured bacterium. Its description in RNAcentral is "partial 16S ribosomal RNA". It matches the Rfam family "Bacterial small subunit ribosomal RNA", at positions 339 to 795 of the family's 1533-position model. The record is from RNAcentral.